ACCACGUCAGUGAGCUGACAGGGAAGGUAGCCGGCUCCUCCGCCCGUCCCGGCCGACUUAUUCCGGUCAAGUGAGCGGUCCCACCUUGACUUUAGCCUUAACUUUCAGAAAACAGGCUCCUUCCCUUCUACCACCCUCCACCGAGUGGGGACAGCCUCUGGGAGCGACGCCUCCCGGGACCAGGUUGGACAUGAGCAGCGGCUGCCGGUCCUGGGACUAGGCCCCGCCAUUUUGGAUCUGCUGACAGGUUUGCCAGGAUGGUGGAUAAGAAUAUUUAUAUCAUUCAAGGGGAAAUUAACAUUGUGGUUGGGGCCAUCAAACGAAACGCCCGAUGGAGCACUCAUACACCACUGGAUGAAGAACGGGAUCCUCUGCUGCAUAGUUUCAGUCAUCUAAAGGAGGUUUUAAACAAUAUAACAGGUUCCUCUACUGGCUACCAUGAGAGCAGUCAAAAUUAGCAACUAUAUGAAAUGAAGUA
Urocitellus parryii (Arctic ground squirrel) is the source of this 478-nucleotide non-coding RNA. NCBI's taxonomy places the organism in Eukaryota, Metazoa, Chordata, Mammalia, Rodentia, Sciuridae. The record is from RefSeq and is a predicted model, not a curated record.